AACGAACGCUGGCGGCAUGCCUAACACAUGCAAGUCGAACGAGACCUUCGGGUCUAGUGGCGCACGGGUGCGUAACGCGUGGGAACCUGCCCUUAGGUUCGGAAUAACUCCCCGAAAGGGGUGCUAAUACCGGAUAAUGUCUUCGGACCAAAGAUUUAUCGCCUUUGGAUGGGCCCGCGUUGGAUUAGCUAGUUGGUAGGGUAAAAGCCUACCAAGGCGACGAUCCAUAGCUGGUCUGAGAGGAUGAUCAGCCACACUGGGACUGAGACACGGCCCAGACUCCUACGGGAAGCAGCAGUGGGGAAUAUUGGACAAUGGGCGAAAGCCUGAUCCAGCAAUGCCGCGUGAGUGAUGAAGGCCUUAGGGUUGUAAAGCUCUUUUACCCGGGAUGAUAAUGACAGUACCGGGAGAAUAAGCUCCGGCUAACUCCGCG
This 433-nucleotide ribosomal RNA is filed under the name uncultured bacterium. RNAcentral describes it as "partial 16S ribosomal RNA". It matches the Rfam family "Bacterial small subunit ribosomal RNA", at positions 29 to 507 of the family's 1533-position model. The record is from RNAcentral.